This 253-nucleotide ribosomal RNA is filed under the name uncultured bacterium. Its description in RNAcentral is "partial 16S ribosomal RNA". It matches the Rfam family "Bacterial small subunit ribosomal RNA", at positions 524 to 776 of the family's 1533-position model. The record is from RNAcentral.
CACGUAGGGCGCAAGCGUUGUCCGGAAUUAUUGGGCGUAAAGAGCUUGUAGGCGGUUUGUCGCGUCUGCUGUGAAAUUUCGGGGCUCAACCCCGAACUUGCAGUGGGUACGGGCAGACUAGAGUGUGGUAGGGGAGACUGGAAUUCCUGGUGUAGCGGUGAAAUGCGCAGAUAUCAGGAGGAACACCGAUGGCGAAGGCAGGUCUCUGGGCCAUAACUGACGCUGAGGAGCGAAAGCGUGGGGAGCGAACAGG